GCCUUCAUUGUGUAAUGGUUAGCACACUUGGCACGUGUUCGAGAGGUCCAGGUUCGAGUCCCUGUGACGGCA
Non-coding RNA from Stegodyphus mimosarum, 72 nucleotides. The record is from Rfam. NCBI's taxonomy places the organism in Eukaryota, Metazoa, Arthropoda, Arachnida, Araneae, Eresidae.